GUACCUUUUGGAAUUCUCACAUCUGGCCUAGAAAUUUCAGGGGCGUGCCCACAGGCUAAGUCGGGAUGAUUUUUUUUGUAAAAAAAAUAUCGCCCGGUACAUUUUUUCACAUCUCGGGCCUCCAUAAAAAAAACCCUAAAAUGCUUCAAAAUUGAUUUUAUUGGGAAUACUACAUAUUUAUGCAGGUACUGGGUACUGUUAGUUGAAUGUGUUUUACUGUGCAGAUAACUAUGAAUAACGCCGAAUUAGCUCAAAUGCAUUUCAUUUAUGGCCUUGCAGAUGGAAAUGGUGCAGAAGCCCGUCGAAUUUAUCAUGAACGCUUUCCCUAUAGACCAAUUCCAGCAGAAAGAACUUUCAUAAGACUCCAUGCCUGUCUGUGUGAGACUGGAUCUGUCAAUACUCAUGAUGAGCGCGUUAGUAGACCGAGGGUAAUAAUGACGCCACAACUAGAGGAAGCAAUUCUGCAAGCAGUGGAAGACGAUCCGUCAACUAGCACGCGAAGAUUAUCGUUACAGUUUAACAUCAGCCACAAAAGUGUUUGGAGGGUUUUGCACACAAAUUUACUUUAUCCAUUCCACAUUCAGCUGGUGCAAGCACUGUUGCCAACAGAUUUUCCUGCACGAUUAGAGUUUUGCCAGUGGUUUCUUAAAAAAACUGCCCAGAAUCCAAAUUUUACGGCUAAAAUUCUUUUCACAGAUGAGGCCUGUUUUUCACGGGAAGCCAUCAGAAACUUCCAUAAUACCCAUCUUUGGGACUUUGAAAAUCCCCAUGCCAUUGGAGAAGGUAGAUUUCAACAGCAGUUUUCCGUGAAUGUUUGGGCCGGAAUUAUCGGUGAUCAUCUUAUCAGACCGCACUUUCUCCCUCCUAGGCUGAAUAGUGAUACUUGUAGACAAUUUUUAGAAGAAAUAUUGCCAGAUUUAUUAGAAGACGUACCACUAGCAACAAGAAAUACCAUGUGGUUUAUGCACGACGGUGCACCUGCUCAUUUUAGUCUUGUCGCUCGAAACUAUCUAAAUGAUACUUUUGCUCAGCAAUAGAUAGGUCGGGGGGACCUCACCUAUGGCCAGCACGAUCUCCAGACCUGAAUCCUCUGGACUAUUUCUUUUGGGGAUAUCUGAAAUCGCUUGUUUAUGCGACGCCAGUUGUGGAUGAAAACGAUUUGAGAAACCGGAUUGUAAACUCUUCUAAUGUCAUACGCAACACACCAGGAAUUUUCGAACGUGUGCGCCUGUCGAUGGGAAGAAGAUUGCGUGCUUGUAUUGACAUCGUGGU
Anthonomus grandis grandis is the source of this 1272-nucleotide long non-coding RNA. RefSeq lists it as uncharacterized. The transcript is spliced from 3 exons. NCBI's taxonomy places the organism in Eukaryota, Metazoa, Arthropoda, Insecta, Coleoptera, Curculionidae. The record is from RefSeq and is a predicted model, not a curated record.